RNAcentral lists this long non-coding RNA (1020 nucleotides) under Anas platyrhynchos platyrhynchos (common mallard). RNAcentral's name for it is "lncRNA (ENSAPLG00000021953.1)". Lineage: Eukaryota; Metazoa; Chordata; Aves; Anseriformes; Anatidae. The record is from RNAcentral.
AUGAGGGAACAGGGCCAGCACGCGCUGGCAGUCACCGCGUCCCCGCCACGGGGACAGCCUGUCCUUGUCCCUCGGGGAGCCUCACCUGGCUUCAGGCUGCGACGGCGUGGGGGGGUACGCUCAGUCUCGGUGCUGAAGGGGGACGCUGCCCUGUGUCCUGUGCCACACAGCUGGGGAAGAGAAGACAGAAACUGGGCAGAAAGAGUGGGUUUGGGGUCUGGUCCUGCAGAGGGGGCUGCUGGCACAGGGCAUCCCCACGGACCCCACAGGGCUGGGGAGGGGCAGGAGGAACAGUCCCCGCACGGGCCCCACAAAGCCCUUGGUGGGGUUUGGGAACCCAACCCCGCAGACCCCACGCGUCCCACUGAGCCUUGCUCAUGGGGAAUGUACCCCACAAGGACCCCUUACAUCCUACAUGGACCCCUUUCACCCUACAUGGGCCCACUGCACCCCACAUGGACCCCUUCCACCCUACAUGGGCCCCACACACUCUACUUGGGCUACACACACCCCCAUGGACGCCAUACACCCCCCAUGGGCCCUACACAGCCCACAUGGACCCCAUACACCCCACAUGAGCCCCACACAGGCCCCACAGAGCCCUGGGGGCUUUGGGAGCCCACGUUGCACGACCCCACAGGGCCCUGGGGAGGGCACAGGCCCCACACAGCCCCUAUACUCGUGGUCUGGGGGAACCCACCCUACAGCCCCUCCAGGGCCAUGGUUUGGGGUACGCCCCCCCCAGGCCCCAUAGAAGCCCCCCAGGCCCCGGCCCCGCUCACCACCACCCGGCCCGGCCCGGCCCGGCCGCCCCGCUCCGCCCCCGGGUGGGCACGGCCUGAGCGGGCCCCUCCUGGGUCUCGGUCCCCGGGGUGGUGGCCAUGGCCCUGUGCCCUCCCCCGACCCCCCAAAUCCCGGUCCCCGUCCCCCCUUGUCCCCCCUGUCCCCCCCUUUUGUGCCCCCCGUCCCCGACCUCCGCAAGGCUGGGAGCCCGCGGGGGCUGCGGCGGGCAGGCCUUGA